GACGAACGCUGGCGGCGUGCUUAACACAUGCAAGUCGAACGGAAAGGCCCUGCUUUUGUGGGGUGCUCGAGUGGCGAACGGGUGAGUAACACGUGAGUAACCUGCCCUUGACUUUGGGAUAACUUCAGGAAACUGGGGCUAAUACCGGAUAGGAGCUCCUGCUGCAUGGUGGGGGUUGGAAAGUUUCGGCGGUUGGGGAUGGACUCGCGGCUUAUCAGCUUGUUGGUGGGGUAGUGGCUUACCAAGGCUUUGACGGGUAGCCGGCCUGAGAGGGUGACCGGCCACAUUGGGACUGAGAUACGGCCCAGACUACUACGGGAGGCAGCAGUGGGGAAUAUUGCACAAUGGGCGGAAGCCUGAUGCAGCAACGCCGCGUGCGGGAUGACGGCCUUCGGGUUGUAAACCGCUUUCGCCUGUGACGAAGCGUGAGUGACGGAAAUGGGUAAAGAAGCACCGGCUAACUACGUG
Molecule: ribosomal RNA, 468 nt
Filed under: uncultured bacterium
Lineage: Bacteria
Description: partial 16S ribosomal RNA
Rfam family: Bacterial small subunit ribosomal RNA
Source: RNAcentral